UGGGGAAUAUUGCACAAUGGGGGAAACCCUGAUGCAGCGACGCCGCGUGAGCGAAGAAGGUUUUCGAAUCGUAAAGCUCUGUCCUAUGAGAAGAUAAUGACGGUAUCAUAGGAGGAAGCCCCGGCUAAAUACGUGCCAGCAGCCGCGGUAAUACGUAUGGGGCGAGCGUUGUCCGGAAUUAUUGGGCGUAAAGGGUACGUAGGCGGUCUAUUAAGUCAGGUGUGAAAGCGUGAGGCUUAACCUCAUUAAGCACUUGAAACUGAUAGACUUGAGUGAAGGAGAGGAAAGUGGAAUUCCUAGUGUAGCGGUGAAAUGCGUAGAUAUUAGGAGGAAUACCGGUGGCGAAGGCGACUUUCUGGCCUGCAACUGACACUGAGGCGCGAAAGCGUGGGGAGCAAACAGG
This 403-nucleotide ribosomal RNA is filed under the name Verrucomicrobiota bacterium. RNAcentral describes it as "Verrucomicrobia bacterium partial 16S ribosomal RNA". It matches the Rfam family "Bacterial small subunit ribosomal RNA", at positions 355 to 776 of the family's 1533-position model. Lineage: Bacteria; Pseudomonadati; Verrucomicrobiota. The record is from RNAcentral.